GAUGUGGCUGCAGUUCUGUGGUAUGAGCCUGGGGCUCUAACUGCCAGGUCAUUCACAGGGUUCAGUUGCCUGAGGGUAACAGUGUUAUUUCCUGUGAAAGUCUUGUGAAGAGACAAAGACUCUUCGCUCUUUUGUGAAAAAUAUUUGUGCUCUUUGGUGGCGCCCCAGUCCCGAUUCCUGGGUGGAUGAAACCAUCCUCGCCUUGGUGUGUGGACUGGGGCUCUUCUUCCUACUACUCCCCUACCUCAGGAGUGAUCCGUCCUCACUACCACCUAGGACACACGGGAGCAUCAGGAAGCAACAAAUAGAGCCGCUGGGGAGGAGGAGGAGGAGGAGCAUGAGACAGAGCGCUUUGAAAGCCUGCAGAGAUGGUCUGUAACAGCUGGGAUGGGUUUGGGGCCUGAUGGCACAUCUGCAAAGGUAAAGAAUCUUUCCUUUCUCUCCUGGGUUCUCCUUCCUUCCAGGGCUCAGGGUGUGACCCUAGGGCUGCAGGCAGCCUGGGG
RNAcentral lists this long non-coding RNA (503 nucleotides) under Sus scrofa (pig). RNAcentral's name for it is "lncRNA (ENSSSCG00040071841.1)". The record is from RNAcentral. Lineage: Eukaryota; Metazoa; Chordata; Mammalia; Artiodactyla; Suidae.